RNAcentral lists this ribosomal RNA (301 nucleotides) under uncultured bacterium. Its description in RNAcentral is "partial 16S ribosomal RNA". It matches the Rfam family "Bacterial small subunit ribosomal RNA", at positions 509 to 807 of the family's 1533-position model. The record is from RNAcentral.
CAGCCGCCGCGGUAAUACGAACCGUGCGAACGUUAUUCGGAAUUACUGGGCUUAAAGCGCGUGUAGGCGGGCCGCCACGUCGGUUGCUGAAAUCCCCCGGCUCAACCGGGGAAGUGGCAUCGAUACGAGCGGCCCUGAGGGGGGUAGGGGGAUCUGGAACUUCCGGUGGAGCGGUGAAAUGCGUUGAGAUCGGAAGGAACGCCCGUGGCGAAAGCGAGGUCCUGGACCCUUUCUGACGCUGAGACGCGAAAGCCAGGGGAGCGAACGGGAUUAGAUACCCCCGUAGUCCCUGUCUCUUAUA